AUUGAACGCUCGCGGCCUGCCUAACACAUGCAAGUCGAACGGCCGCACAGUAAAGACUUCGGUCUUUAUGGGUGGCGAGCGGCGGACGGGAGAGUAACGCGUCGGAAUCUGUCCUGGAAGGUGGGAUAACCCGAGGAAACUCGGGCGUAUACCGCUUGAUAUCGAGAGAGCAAAAGCAGGGGACUCUUCGGGCACUUGAGCUCUUGGAUGAACCUACGCCGGAUUAGCUAGUUGGUAGGGUAAAGGCCUACCAAGGCGAAGAUCCGUAGCGGGUCUGAGAGGAUGACCAGCGGCACUGGGACUGAGACACGGCCCAGACUCCUACGGGAGGCAGCAGUGGGGAAGAGUGGACAAUGGGGGCAACCCUGAUCCAGCAAUGCCGAGUGUGUGAAGAAGGCCUGCGGGUUGGAAAGCACUUUAGUUGGGGAGGAAGUAAUACAUUUUAAUAGAGUGUAUUGUUGACGUUACCCAAAGAAUAAGCACCGGCUAACUCUGUGCCAGCAGCCGCCGUAA
This 513-nucleotide ribosomal RNA is filed under the name uncultured bacterium. Its description in RNAcentral is "partial 16S ribosomal RNA". It matches the Rfam family "Bacterial small subunit ribosomal RNA", at positions 30 to 523 of the family's 1533-position model. The record is from RNAcentral.